RNAcentral lists this transfer RNA (74 nucleotides) under Vibrio parahaemolyticus. Its description in RNAcentral is "tRNA-Ala". It matches the Rfam family "tRNA". Rfam says of the family: Transfer RNA (tRNA) molecules are approximately 80 nucleotides in length. Their secondary structure includes four short double-helical elements and three loops (D, anti-codon, and T loops). The record is from RNAcentral. Lineage: Bacteria; Pseudomonadati; Pseudomonadota; Gammaproteobacteria; Vibrionales; Vibrionaceae. RNAcentral also lists the same sequence under 1 other name.
GGCUAUAGCUCAGCUGGGAGAGCGCCUGCCUUGCACGCAGGAGGUCUGCGGUUCGAUCCCGCAUAGCUCCACCA